GGCGGCGUGGAUAAGACAUGCAAGUCGAACGGGUUUAGUUUCGGAGCAAUUCGGAAUUAGGCCAGUGGCGAACGGGUGCGUAACACGUGAGUCAUCUGCCUGAAAGUGGGGGAUAGCUCGCCGAAAGGCGAAUUAAUACCGCAUAUGCCCAGAAGCAAUUCGGGGUAAAGCCGGGGCAACCUGGCGCUUUUAGAGGAACUCGCGGCCUAUCAGCUUGUUGGUGAGGUAACGGCUUACCAAGGCUUCGACGGGUAGCUGGUCUGAGAGGACGACCAGCCACACUGGAACUGAGACACGGUCCAGACACCUACGGGUGGCGGCAGUCGAGAAUUUUUCUCAAUGGGGGAAACCCUGAAGGAGCGACGCCGCGUGGAGGAUGAAUGCUUUCGGGUUGUAAACUCCUGUCAUUUGGGAACAAAGCCUUACGUUAACUGCGUGGAGGUUUGAUAGUACCGAAAGANGAAGAGACGGCUAACUCUGUGCCAGCAGCCGCGGUAAUACAGA
This 504-nucleotide ribosomal RNA is filed under the name uncultured Verrucomicrobiota bacterium. Its description in RNAcentral is "bacterial SSU rRNA". It matches the Rfam family "Bacterial small subunit ribosomal RNA", at positions 38 to 529 of the family's 1533-position model. The record is from RNAcentral. Lineage: Bacteria; Pseudomonadati; Verrucomicrobiota.